CCCUAUGGGGCGCACCAGGUCUCGAUUGCAUCGCUCAUUGUCGUGCUCGGGAUCGUCGUCGACAAUGCCAUCGUCAUCGUGGACAACUAUAUCGAGCUUCUCGAUCACAAAAUACCAAGGGAGGAAGCGACGUGGCGCUCUGCCGCGGAUGUCCUGAUCCCGGUUCUUGCUGCGACGGUGACGAUCAUCUGUUCCUUUUUGCCUCUGCUCAUCCUCAGCGGUACGGCCGGUGAGUUCAUCGUUGCGCUUCCGCUGACAGUUACGAUUGCUCUCGUAAUUUCCUUCGUUGUCGCCAUCACGCUCACGCCGUUUCUCUGCAGUCUUUUCAUCAAGAAGGGGCUUCACGACCACGAUGCUCCUGCCAAGAAGAAAUCGUUCAAUCUCCUGGACAGCCUCCAGGGCGCGUACGCAAAGGCGAUCGCGUUUUUCAUGAAGCGAAAGGGCCUGGCUCUGGCACUCGGUGGCGGGAGAGC
RNAcentral lists this ribosomal RNA (473 nucleotides) under uncultured prokaryote. RNAcentral's name for it is "partial 16S ribosomal RNA". The record is from RNAcentral.